This 253-nucleotide ribosomal RNA is filed under the name uncultured bacterium. Its description in RNAcentral is "partial 16S ribosomal RNA". It matches the Rfam family "Bacterial small subunit ribosomal RNA", at positions 524 to 776 of the family's 1533-position model. The record is from RNAcentral.
UACGUAGGGGGCAAGCGUUGUCCGGAUUUAUUGGGCGUAAAGAGCGUGUAGGCGGUUUGGUAGGUCCGUUGUGAAAACUCGAGGCUCAACCUCGAGACGCCGAUGGAAACCAUCAGACUAGAGUCCGGAAGAGGAGAGUGGAAUUCCUGGUGUAGCGGUGAAAUGCGCAGAUAUCGGGAGGAACACCGGUGGCGAAGGCGGUUCUCUGGGCCUUACCUGACGCUGAGGAGCGAAAGCGUGGGGAGCGAACAGG